RNAcentral lists this ribosomal RNA (565 nucleotides) under uncultured Basidiomycota. RNAcentral describes it as "partial 18S ribosomal RNA". The stretch from base 42 to 195 matches the Rfam family "5.8S ribosomal RNA". The record is from RNAcentral. Lineage: Eukaryota; Fungi; Basidiomycota.
AAGCAAUGUGUAAUGAACGUCGUUCUAUUAUAACAAAAUAAAACUUUCAACAACGGAUCUCUUGGCUCUCGCAUCGAUGAAGAACGCAGCGAAUUGCGAUAAGUAACGUGAAUUGCAGAAUUCAGUGAAUCAUCGAAUCUUUGAACGCAGCUUGCGCUCUCUGGUAUUCCGGAGAGCAUGCCUGUUUCAGUGUCAUGAAAUCUCAACCGCUAGGGUUUCCUAAUGGAUUGGAUUUGGGCGUCUGCGAUCUCUGAUCGCUCGCCUUAAAAGAGUUAGCAAGUUUGACGUUAAUGUCUGGUGUAAUAAGUUUCACUGGGUCCAUUGUGCUGAAGCGUGCUUCUAAUCGUCCGCAAGGACAAUUACUUUGACUCUGGCCUGAAAUCAGGUAGGACUACCCGCUGAACUUAAGCAUAUCAAUAAGCGGAGGAAAAGAAACUAACAAGGAUUCCCCUAGUAACUGCGAGUGAAGCGGGAAAAGCUCAAAUUUAAAGUCUGGCGGUCUCCGGCCGUCCGAGUUGUAAUUUAGAGAAGCGUUAUCCGUGCUGGACCGUGUACAAGUCUCCUG